This is a long non-coding RNA of Manacus vitellinus (golden-collared manakin), 738 nucleotides long. RefSeq lists it as uncharacterized. The transcript is spliced from 3 exons. The record is from RefSeq and is a predicted model, not a curated record. Lineage: Eukaryota; Metazoa; Chordata; Aves; Passeriformes; Pipridae.
CAGAACAUGCUGUUGAAGCUUGAAAGCCCAAAGUGGGGUGACCUUGGUGCUUGGUGUGCUUGGACAACCAAUGAAUACAGCACAGCUCAAGGGUUCCACCUGAGGGAGAAAAAAACACUGGAAAAGACAACCUGUUAUUUUAAAAUCAGCAUUGAGGAGUUCCUACUGUGUGCAUCUGGCGUUAGAGCAGAAACACUGCAAAGAGCAACCCAAGAUGAAGGCAGAUCCAUCCAAUGAAGAAGUCACUCAAGAAACAGUUGUGGGAAGCACUGAAAAAACCAGAAUUUACAGGCAGGAAUGUUGGCAUAUCCUUUGAAAAGAAGAAAAAGUGUUUCCAGAGGAGAAAGGAAGCAAGGUACCAGAAAUAUGAAGAGAAACCUCACAGCUUCAAGUCCAAAUGAGAUAUUCCUCAAAAAUGACUUCUGUCCUGAUUAAUUUGCUAAAAAUAGAUCAACAUCUUCCAGUAAAAACUCUCUAUUAAAAAGAUGCUGGCCAGCAAAAGUAUCACAACUUGUGCCUGUGCAUGGCUUCCUGUUUUCCAAAGGCCUCCACAAAACCUUCUGCUUUGUUUCCUACAGGACUUAUUCCAUGCAUGUUUUAGAUGCAUUUUUCCAUGGGUAGAAGAAGCUGGGACACACCCUCAAUGGGGAAACACUAGGCCUGUUCAUUGCCAUCUGAUUUCAAAAGGCUUUCCAGCCCUGAUGGGCUGGUGGGAUUUUUCCUGGGUGGUGGUGUUAG